CGUAACAAGGUCUCCGUAGGUGAACCUGCGGAGGGAUCAUUACACAAAUAUGAAGGCGGGCUGGAACCUCUCGGGGUUACAGCCUUGCUGAAUUAUUCACCCUUGUCUUUUGCGUACUUCUUGUUUCCUUGGUGGGUUCGCCCACCACUAGGACAAACAUAAACCUUUUGUAAUUGCAAUCAGCGUCAGUAAUAAAUUAAUAAUUACAACUUUCAACAACGGAUCUCUUGGUUCUGGCAUCGAUGAAGAACGCAGCGAAAUGCGAUAAGUAGUGUGAAUUGCAGAAUUCAGUGAAUCAUCGAAUCUUUGAACGCACAUUGCGCCCUUUGGUAUUCCAAAGGGCAUGCCUGUUCGAGCGUCAUUUGUACCCUCAAGCUUUGCUUGGUGUUGGGCGUCUUGUCUCUAGCUUUGCUGGAGACUCGCCUUAAAGUAAUUGGCAGCCGGCCUACUGGUUUCGGAGCGCAGCACAAGUCGCACUCUCUAUCAGCAAAGGUCUAGCAUCCAUUAAGCCUUUUUUUCAACUUUUGACCUCGGAUCAGGUAGGGAUACCCGCUGAACUUAAGCAUAUCA
Molecule: ribosomal RNA, 570 nt
Filed under: uncultured fungus
Lineage: Eukaryota; Fungi
Description: eukaryotic LSU rRNA
Rfam family: 5.8S ribosomal RNA (bases 208-361)
Source: RNAcentral